Molecule: ribosomal RNA, 613 nt
Filed under: uncultured Chloroflexaceae bacterium
Lineage: Bacteria; Bacillati; Chloroflexota; Chloroflexia; Chloroflexales; Chloroflexaceae
Description: bacterial SSU rRNA
Rfam family: Bacterial small subunit ribosomal RNA
Source: RNAcentral
GGCGGGCUUAACACAUGCAAGUCGAACGCGAACAUCCCUUCGGGGGUAAGUAGAGUGGCGCACGGGUGAGUAACACGUAGGCAAUCUGCCCUCUGGCGGGGGACAACUGCUCGAAAGGACAGCUAAUACCGCAUAAGACCACAGCAUCUGCGGACGCAGUGGUAAAAGGUGGCCUCUUCUUGAAAGCUACCGCCAGAGGAUGAGCCUGCGUACCAUCAGCUUGUUGGUGGGGUAACGGCCUACCAAGGCUAAGACGGUUAGCUGGUCUGAGAGGAUGAUCAGCCACACUGGCACUGAAACACGGUCCAUACACCUACGGGUGGCAGCAGUAGGGAAUAUUGCACAAUGGGCGAAAGCCUGAUGCAGCAACGCCGCGUGUGCGAAGAAGGCCUUCGGGUCGUAAAGCACUUUUCUGGGAGAUGAGAAAGGACAGUAUCCCAGGAAUAAGUCUCGGCUAACUACGUGCCAGCAGCCGCGGUAAAACGUAGGAGGCGAGCGUUAUCCGGAUUCACUGGGCGUAAAGCGCGUGCAGGCGGUUUGGUAAGUUGGGCGUGAAAUCUCCCGGCUCAACUGGGAGAGGUCGUCCAAAACUGCCAGACUAGAGAGCGAUAGA